Molecule: ribosomal RNA, 576 nt
Filed under: uncultured eukaryote
Lineage: Eukaryota
Description: SSU rRNA
Rfam family: Eukaryotic small subunit ribosomal RNA
Source: RNAcentral
UUUGUUACUUCAAACCAAUCGGACUUCGGUCUGACAUCAAGUGAUAUUGAACAAUUUAGCUGAUCGCACGGUCUAAGAACCGGCGACAUAUCCUUCAAAUGUCUGCCUUAUCAACUUUCGAUGGUAGGUUGUGCGCCUACCAUGGUUGUAACGGGCAACGGAGAAUCAGGGUUUGAUUCCGGAGAGGGAGCCUGAGAAACGGCUACCACAUCCAAGGAAGGCAGCAGGCACGCAAAUUACCCACUCCCGGCACGGGGAGGUAGUGACGAAAAAUAACAAGCUGGUCUCAAUGAGUUCCAGCAUUGUAAUGGGAACAAUUUAAAUCUUUUAUCGAGGAUCUAUUGGAGGGCAAGUCUGGUGCCAGCAGCCGCGGUAAUUCCAGCUCCAAUAGCGUAUAUUAAAGUUGUUGCGGUUAAAAAGCUCGUAGUUGGAUCUAGGAUUAGGGCUACGGUCGUUCAGCUUGGACGUACUGUAUGCCCGACUCCUUUUCUCUAGUAUUCGAUUGUUGCUCUUAAAUGAGUGACUUUAGUUGCUGGAACUUUUACCUUGAAAAAAUUGAAGUGCUCAAAGCAGGUU